CUUCGUCCACCUGCUGAGGGCAGAUAAAGUGAAUAUGAGUAUCGAACCCGCCGGCCGUCACGAUCUUAUUCUCUCCCGCAAUGACAUCGGUGGAUGAGCCCACAAUCAUGUCCGGAUGCACGCCGUCCAUCAUAUCCGGGUUGCCAGCCUUGCCGAUAGCAGAGAUCAGCCCAUUCUUGAUACCAAUGUCAGCCUUGUAGAUUCCGCUCCAGUCAAUGAUCAGCGCAUUCGUAAUGACGGUGUCCAGACACUCGGCUUCAGACCUCUCCGAGGACUGGCCCAUACCCUCGCGAAG
This is a non-coding RNA of Aspergillus lentulus, 295 nucleotides long. The record is from Rfam. Lineage: Eukaryota; Fungi; Ascomycota; Eurotiomycetes; Eurotiales; Aspergillaceae.